This 731-nucleotide ribosomal RNA is filed under the name uncultured bacterium. Its description in RNAcentral is "bacterial SSU rRNA". It matches the Rfam family "Bacterial small subunit ribosomal RNA", at positions 771 to 1501 of the family's 1533-position model. The record is from RNAcentral.
AACAGGAUUAGAUACCCUGGUAGUCCACGCUGUAAACGAUGUCGACUUGGAGGUUGUGCCCUUGAGGCGUGGCUUCCGGAGCUAACGCGUUAAGUCGACCGCCUGGGGAGUACGGCCGCAAGGUUAAAACUCAAAUGAAUUGACGGGGGCCCGCACAAGCGGUGGAGCAUGUGGUUUAAUUCGAUGCAACGCGAAGAACCUUACCUACUCUUGACAUCCAGAGAAUUUGCUAGAGAUAGCUUAGUGCCUUCGGGAACUCUGAGACAGGUGCUGCAUGGCUGUCGUCAGCUCGUGUUGUGAAAUGUUGGGUUAAGUCCCGCAACGAGCGCAACCCUUAUCCUUUGUUGCCAGCACGUAAUGGUGGGAACUCAAAGGAGACUGCCGGUGAUAAACCGGAGGAAGGUGGGGAUGACGUCAAGUCAUCAUGGCCCUUACGAGUAGGGCUACACACGUGCUACAAUGGCAUAUACAAAGAGAAGCGAACUCGCGAGAGCAAGCGGACCUCAUAAAGUAUGUCGUAGUCCGGAUUGGAGUCCGCAACUCGACUCCAUGAAGUCGGAAUCGCUAGUAAUCGUAGAUCAGAAUGCUACGGUGAAUACGUUCCCGGGCCUUGUACACACCGCCCGUCACACCAUGGGAGUGGGUUGCAAAAGAAGUAGGUAGCUUAACCUUCGGGAGGGCGCUUACCACUUUGUGAUUCAUGACUGGGGUGAAGUCGUAACAAGGUAACC